UUGAUAUACAUGCAGGAAGAGUAAACUACAGAAUACGAGAAAUGAGUUAAAAGAAACUAUUAUAGACAUGUAACAGUGCAAAUGGUGUAAAAAUUGCACUCUCUGAAAAUACAUCUUGUAGAAUAAAAUUUGAACAAGAAGAUUGACGACAUUAAGGUCAUGUUGGAAAAAAUCUUAACAUCAGACUUAUGAUGCAUUUAUAGAAAUAAACGAAGUAAAUUAUGGAGAUGAAUAAAUAUUUGUAUUCAUGUCAACAUGCACAAGCAGAACUUCAAUGGAAAAAAAAACGAAAUAGAAAAACACGGAACAACUAACAAGAAGAGAGAUUAAAUUUACGUAUAAAAUAUGGAAAACAUAGUUGAAUCCAAAGGAUUGCAUUGCUUGGAAAUUAUAACCUUCCAUUUCAAAGUUAUGGUAUUACAGUGUGAAAUUUCAGUGAAGGUUUAUUUUUAGAACAAGGUUCUUAUCGAACUCCCUAAAAAUACUCAGUCGCUACGCUUUACCUUUCAUUUUUUCCGCUUUAAUAAGCAACAAAGACAACAUUCAUAACAGACCAAACUUGAAGACUAUCAACUGUCAGUAUGUAUCCAACUCAAACAUGAAGGCUUUUCAUGGGUGAUUGCACUACUUACUGAUUAAGCAAAAGGCAUAUGCUUCUCCUUAUCCCUUUGCACUAUGCAUCAAAACUAGCAAGAAUAUAACCAUUAAUACAGAUCUGUUCACUUGGGGUAUUCUUCAAGAUAUUCUAGCCAGUUAAGGUCAUAAUUUUUCCAUAUGACGUCUCCAUCCCAGAUGAAUGGUAGAAACCUCACUUUGUGAACAAUAGUGUAAACAUGAGUCCAGGAAAAUGAACAGGAAAUUAUGGAUUGUCUCUUUUUAUUAAAUGCAAAUAUAAUAUAAUAAAGCUAACAACAUACCUAAACUAAUCGACAGAAAAAAAGAAGAUACACAGCAUAACAAUUACUUAAGGGGUCUUCUAGCAAACUCACAUUUUGUAUAGUCUUUCUUAAAAACAACAGAUAAGCUGCCCAAUAACAGGGUAAAAGGUUUCUUUAAAUAAAAUGGAGCUAUAAGCAUAGGCCACUCACUAUGAUAAUACUAGCAGAAGUCAUUGGUUAACAUGAUAGUAGGUAGAGAGGACAGACAUGAUAACAUUUAUGGAAUAUUUGGAGAUGAACUAAAAGUAUUCUAAUCAAUAAUUCUUUCACUAUCACCAUGCACAUUAGCAGCAUCCAAAGAAGACUUUAUCCACUUCCAGUAACAAAUAGAAGAAUAAAAAAAUCAUUUAGUAAGAACCAUAAAAAAUAUAAUGCUCUAAAAGCAAGCCACAAUAUAACAGUUCCAGCAAGUGCCAGCGAAAUGUAAAGGCAGAACGUAGCAAUUAUCAUGAAAUAAGUUUGGGCUUUUUUUAAAAUGAACUAAAUAAAAAAAAGUUCAGGCCGGUUUGAAGGAGGAAUUCGCCCAUAAUGCAUCACUUAUUAUCUUUUCUAAAAUAUUGAAAACCAAGAAAGAUAAAUUGAAGGAAAAAUGAAGCUUCUUAGCUGCAUAAAGAUAAAUUGUUGAAAACCAAGAGUACAAACGCCAAUAGGAGUAUAAGACAUCCCAGUUGAGUCAAAAGAUCUCCAAAAAUACUGACAAGAACCUGUUGUUCUCCUCGUGAAAACAUUUUAAGCAGAAAUCGAGCAGACACGCGUUGAGCAAAAAUAAAAACUUCCAAAGUAAAUCAUGGUAACUUAAGAGUAAUCCAACAGAUUUUUCACAUAUCAGACAGCAAAGAGAAAAAGUAAUUUAAGUAAAACUGAACAAACGAAGAAAAAAUCCACAAAAGAGCAAAAUUGUAACAAAAUUUGAAGUUUCACACGUAGAUCCAGCUAAACUAAGGAAAAAGCAGCGAAAACCAAAGAGGACGUGCUGUAGAACGAGAGACAGAGCCUGAGAGAGACAAACAGACGCAGGAGGAAAUGAUCGUGAAAGAGUCUGGUGGAAAAGUCGAG
RNAcentral lists this long non-coding RNA (1994 nucleotides) under Olea europaea subsp. europaea. The record is from RNAcentral. Lineage: Eukaryota; Viridiplantae; Streptophyta; Magnoliopsida; Lamiales; Oleaceae.